GAGUUUGAUCAUGGCUCAGAGCGAACGUUAGCGGCGCGCCUAACACAUGCAAGUCGCACGGAGUAGCAAUACUCAGUGGCGCACGGGUGCGUAACACGUAGAUAAUCUGCCCUUCAGCGGGGGAGUAACGUUCCGAAAGGAGCGCUAAUACCGCAUACAGCGUCGAGUGGUUCGCCAUUUGACGGCAAGGGCUGGGAUCGCAAGACCAGUCACUGAAGGAGGAGUCUGCGGCCCAUCAGCUAGUUGGGGAGGUAAUGGCUCACCAAGGCAAAGACGGGUAGCUGGUCUGAGAGGAUGAUCAGCCACACUGGUACUGGAACACGGACCAGACUCCUACGGGAGGCAGCAGUGGGGAAUCUUGGUCAAUGGGCGCAAGCCUGAACCAGCGACGCCGCGUGAGGGAUGACGGCC
This 411-nucleotide ribosomal RNA is filed under the name uncultured delta proteobacterium. Its description in RNAcentral is "bacterial SSU rRNA". It matches the Rfam family "Bacterial small subunit ribosomal RNA", at positions 9 to 416 of the family's 1533-position model. The record is from RNAcentral. Lineage: Bacteria; Deltaproteobacteria.